This 395-nucleotide ribosomal RNA is filed under the name uncultured bacterium. RNAcentral describes it as "bacterial SSU rRNA". It matches the Rfam family "Bacterial small subunit ribosomal RNA", at positions 505 to 898 of the family's 1533-position model. The record is from RNAcentral.
GUGCCAGCAGCCGCGGUAAUACAGAGGGUGCAAGCGUUGUUCGGAAUUACUGGGCGUAAAGCGCGUGUAGGCGGUCUCGCAAGUCGGGUGUGAAAGCCCUUGGCUUAACCAAGGAACUGCAUUCGAAACUACAAGACUAGAGUAUCGGAGGGGGUGGCGGAAUUCCCGGUGUAGAGGUGAAAUUCGUAGAUAUCGGGAGGAACACCUGUGGCGAAGGCGGCCACCUGGAAGAUAACUGACGCUGAGACGCGAAAGCGUGGGGAGCAAACAGGAUUAGAUACCCUGGUAGUCCACGCCGUAAACGAUGAGUGCUAGGUGUUGCGGGUAUUGACCCCUGCAGUGCCAAAGCUAACGCGUUAAGCACUCCGCCUGGGGAGUACGGUCGCAAGAUUAAA